RNAcentral lists this ribosomal RNA (372 nucleotides) under uncultured organism. RNAcentral's name for it is "bacterial SSU rRNA". It matches the Rfam family "Bacterial small subunit ribosomal RNA", at positions 526 to 896 of the family's 1533-position model. The record is from RNAcentral.
CGUAGGGUGCGAGCGUUAAUCGGAAUUACUGGGCGUAAAGCGUGCGCAGGCGGUGAUGUAAGACAGAUGUGAAAUCCCCGGGCUCAACCUGGGAACUGCAUUUGUGACUGCAUCGCUGGAGUGCGGCAGAGGGGGAUGGAAUUCCGCGUGUAGCAGUGAAGUGCGUAGAUAUGCGGAGGAACACCGAUGGCGAAGGCAAUCCCCUGGGCCUGCACUGACGCUCAUGCACGAAAGCGUGGGGAGCAAACAGGAUUAGAUACCCUGGUAGUCCACGCCCUAAACGAUGUCAACUGGUUGUUGGUCCUUCGCUCGGAUCAGUAACGAAGCUAACGCGUGAAGUUGACCGCCUGGGGAGUACGGCCGCAACGGUUG